Molecule: long non-coding RNA, 2298 nt
Organism: Magallana angulata
Lineage: Eukaryota; Metazoa; Mollusca; Bivalvia; Ostreida; Ostreidae
Exons: 3
Source: RefSeq, a predicted model, not a curated record
AGAAUGAGAGAAAACAACAUUAAUAUUCAAAGGCCUAACAAACCAUUUUUUACGCGGUGAUAUAAAUAGCAAACGAUUAACUAUGUUUCUAAGUAAAAACCGAUGACCAAGCAACACCCGGUUUUAACGAAAUACUUCCUUAAGGAAACAAAAGACAAAAAAACCAAAGUGUGUCAGGAAAUACUUCCUGCAAUUUCUGGAGUCCCGGCACCCACACUUGUCAUUUUCUCACUGCCUGUGGCAGAAUAUGACACUCUGUUUAAAUUGUUAUGGAAUUAACCUGGCGAUGUGUAUAAUAUACUGUACCACAGCGGCAGUUUAAACGGGCUAUGAAGGUAAAUACCAUAGAAGACAAAAAUGCAGAAGCCGCCGACACAGUUCUUUGUUUAUAACCUUCACACCAGCACAGAGAACUUAUUUUAUUGCUGAAAUCAUCGACCAUUCAAAUAUGUUAUACGUGUCGAUCAAUUUUAUUUUAACACCCAAAUGGUUUCAAGAAAUUCAGCUACACUUCCAACGAAAGUAUGCAUAAAUAGGAAUUGGUGCGGAAAGAGUGUACAUGUAAGCCACUGUGGAAAUCUAACGAAGAAAUCAACCGACCUUCUACCAAAAAUACCUAGGGGCAUCAAGAAAGGAAUGACUUUGCCAAUGGAAUUAUUGUAGGAUAUUAAACAACAGUGAACGAUUUUGACUAAUACAGAUGUUAUUAAAUGAAAUUAGAUCCAGAAAGAUUUGGUAAUCUUAUAAUUGAUAGUGAUUUUGAUUUUGGCGGUUAUUAUCUUUUAGCCGAAAGUAAAGUUUAAAAAAAAGGAAUUAGGUUGUCAUUUGUGUCAAUGGAAUAAUUGUGGGAUAUUAAACAACAGUCAACAAUUUUGACUAUUACAUAUGCUAUUAAAUGAAAUUAGAUCCAGAUAUAUUGAUGGUGAUUUUGCAGGAUUCUAUUCUUAACGGUUAUUAUCUUUUAGCCGGAUGUAAAGUUGCUAAAAAUAAUUGAAUUUUUGAAAGUUUUAUACAGGCAAACUUAGCUGUUAAAAGGUUUUACUUUCAUGGAUAUAAACGUAUUUACCAUUUUUAGAAAGAACGUACAAAUGAUUAUAACUUGAUACUUUUGCGUACAGCACGCUUAAAAUAGAGAUGCUCAAAUAAACGUAAAUACUUUGAAUACUAAGAAAGUUGCUUACCAAUGUUUAUAUUUCAUUAAAAGAAAUGAUUUUUUUAUAAAACAAGAACAUACUAUAAAUUCUACAAAGAAAUAACAGCUAGUUUCUUUUUUCAAUAGGACAGCAAAUUUAAUAUUGUAAUGCUUAAUUAGAUGAACUAAAAACCCAAACAACAAAAUUCUUUUCACAAAAUAUUUACAAUUUAUGCUUUUUUAAAUCAAAAUUGUUGAAUUUCUAAUAAGUCAUGUCCCCUGGAGAAAGUCUACGUGAAGUGUUCAAUUCUAACUAAAACUAACUUUAACCUCUGUAAAUAUAUAACUAGCAUAUUUAUAUAAGUCUACUUAAAUUAAAAAGAUAUGUCUGAUCAUAUUGGUAUCCUAACAUAAAAAAACUUCUUUUUUAAUGAAUUUAUAUGUUUCAUACAAGAACAACAUUUAUCAUGACAAAACAUUAAAGUUUUAUAUAAAUAACAUAAAUCAAAAAACUUUCAAACUUCUUAUCGAAUAAUCCAUUCGAGUAUGAAGUACAUCCGUUUUGGAAAAAAAAUAUAUUUAAUAUGUUAAUUACAGUAUUUAAUGGGAUUACACCCACUCAAAUAUACUUAAAUGGAAUUAAUGGUAUGGUAAUUAUCAACACGAAGACACUUUUUUACUUAUUUUUCAUGAAUAAUCCAAAACAUUUGUUUUUGUUAAGUUGCAGUUAAAGUACUUAAUAUAUUCAUAUUAGUAUGCUAUAAAUAUGAGAACUCAUUGAUUAACCUCUACAUUUCAACUGAUAUUCCAAAUUCAACUAAGCAUAUGAAUUAUUAUUUGUUUGUUUGCUUUACACAUAAAUGGUAGAUUUAUAUACCUACAUAUGAAUGUACUACCCGUUAACAUAAAUCCAUGAAUAUUAGCAUUUUAAGGGAAUUAUAUAAUAGACUUGGGAUCCCUAAUGACUUCUAUUCAUAAAAUGAACGGGUUUCCCAGUCACAUACCGUUAUUUCAACGCUUUACACUAUGACGGUUAAAUAUGCAAGUAUCGGGGGGUAGGGCGUUAUUGUACCUCCCUAAGAUGCAGUUUCCAACAAAAUUAUAUAUGUAUAUGUUUUAUCAUAGACUGUUUUAUCAUAGGGUGUACGAAUAUAUUGGUUAACCAC